UCUGUUCAUAUCUUCUGCCCAUUUCUUGAUUGGAUUAUUUGUUCUUUGGGUGUUGAGUUUGAGACAUGUGCCUUUGAGAAACAGUGAAACAUUGGUCAAAUUUCUUCAUUUGUACUUGGAUAGAAAAAGUCUGACCAGGGGUGUACUGUAUGGUGACUAACAUAAUAUAAUAAAAAAAAUUAAAAAAAAAAGAAAAAUCUGGAAUAAAUUAGUAGCAUCGAUAACUUUCUGGCAAGGGGAUGAGAUAAGUAUAUGAAAAGAUACUUCAAAUUUUUGUUCUACUUACUUCUGUGCAGUUUGGAUUUUUAAAAAACUGUAAAAAAUGUCCAUGUAGUACUUGUGUUAUUAAAAGCAAAUAAAGUAAUGAAAGCAAGGAAAUAAAA
Ailuropoda melanoleuca (giant panda) is the source of this 383-nucleotide long non-coding RNA. RefSeq lists it as uncharacterized. The record is from RefSeq and is a predicted model, not a curated record. The transcript is spliced from 2 exons. Lineage: Eukaryota; Metazoa; Chordata; Mammalia; Carnivora; Ursidae.